This 253-nucleotide ribosomal RNA is filed under the name uncultured bacterium. RNAcentral's name for it is "partial 16S ribosomal RNA". It matches the Rfam family "Bacterial small subunit ribosomal RNA", at positions 524 to 776 of the family's 1533-position model. The record is from RNAcentral.
UACGAAGGGGGCUAGCGUUGCUCGGAAUCACUGGGCGUAAAGGGCGCGUAGGCGGCCAAGUAAGUUGGGGGUGAAAGCCCGUGGCUCAACCACGGAAUUGCCUUCGAUACUGCUUGGCUUGAGACCGGAAGAGGUGAGUGGAACUGCGAGUGUAGAGGUGAAAUUCGUAGAUAUUCGCAAGAACACCAGUGGCGAAGGCGGCUCACUGGUCCGGAUCUGACGCUGAGGCGCGAAAGCGUGGGGAGCAAACGGG